This 391-nucleotide long non-coding RNA is filed under the name Citrus maxima (pomelo). RNAcentral describes it as "long non-coding RNA (CMAX_LNC000009)". Lineage: Eukaryota; Viridiplantae; Streptophyta; Magnoliopsida; Sapindales; Rutaceae. The record is from RNAcentral.
GCAUUAUUCGGAUCCGGUUGCCUGCUCAAAGGCACAGAGAUCCAGAAGUGCUACCCCUCAGGGAACAGCCUUGCCUUGCUCCGGGAAGGUCUGAUGAUGCCUCAGUUCAAGUGAUGCAUGAACCUGCUCCUAUACCAAGCAGAGAAGGGGUAGAAAAUCCUUGUUCUGCUUCCGGAAAGAUGUGUCCAGAAUUUGCUAUGAGGCUAAGCAAAGAAAACCCCUGCCUUGUUCCUGGAAGGAUUGAGGAUGCCUCUAUUCAACUGAUGCAUGAACCUGUUCCUAGAUCAGGCGGAGGAGUAGUAGAAAAUCCUUGUUCCACUUCCAGAAAGAUGUGCCCGGAACAUGCUGUAAGGCUAUGCGAAGAAAAGCCCCGCCUCCCCACUGCAGUAUC